RNAcentral lists this ribosomal RNA (800 nucleotides) under uncultured bacterium. RNAcentral describes it as "bacterial SSU rRNA". It matches the Rfam family "Bacterial small subunit ribosomal RNA", at positions 8 to 824 of the family's 1533-position model. The record is from RNAcentral.
AGAGUUUGAUCCUGGCUCAGGACGAACGCUGGCGGCGUGCUUAACACAUGCAAGUCGAGCGAUGAAACUACUUCGGUAGUGAAUUAGCGGCGAACGGGUGAGGAACACGUGAGGAAUCUGCCUUCUACACUGGGAUAACUCCGGGAAACCGGGGCUAAUACCGGAUAUGAAACUUGGUGGCAUCACCGAGUUUGGAAAGUUUUUCGGUAGAAGAUGACCUCGCGGCCUAUCAGCUUGUUGGUGAGGUAAUGGCUCACCAAGGCGACGACGGGUAGCCGGCCUGAGAGGGCGACCGGCCACACUGGGACUGAGACACGGCCCAGACUCCUACGGGAGGCAGCAGUGGGGAAUAUUGGGCAAUGGAGGAAACUCUGACCCAGCGACGCCGCGUGCGGGAUGAAGGCCUUCGGGUUGUAAACCGCUUUCAGUAGGGAAGAAGCGAAAGUGACGGUACCUACAGAAGAAGCACCGGCUAACUAUGUGCCAGCAGCCGCGGUAAUACAUAGGGUGCAAGCGUUGUCCGGAAUUAUUGGGCGUAAAGAGCUCGUAGGUGGUUCGUUACGUCGGAUGUGAAAAUCUGGGGCUCAACCCCAGACCUGCAUCCGAUACGGUCGAGCUAGAGUUUGGUAGGGGAGACUGGAAUUCCUGGUGUAGCGGUGGAAUGCGCAGAUAUCAGGAGGAACACCAAUGGCGAAGGCAGGUCUCUGGGCCAAUACUGACACUGAGGAGCGAAAGCGUGGGGAGCGAACAGGAUUAGAUACCCUGGUAGUCCACGCCGUAAACGGUGGGCGCUAGUUGUG